ACUUUAAUCUUUGGGAAUAAUGAUACCAGCUUCCAAGAGUUCAGGAAAUAUGCCCAUGGGCCUACAUGGGCGUGGCACAUGGCUGUAGCUCAAAAAAAAGAAAAUGUAGCUGUUGUUGAAUCAAGGGUUUAUCCUUUUUCAAAGCACUUUCAAUAGCUCAGGCCCAGAUGAUGCACAGAGAACCAACUGAGCAGCAUGUCUGGUUUGCUUAGAUGUCCUGAGGCUGCGGGAGACAGGGUCCCCCCUCGCGGGGCCGGGUCAGCCAGGGGGACGUGGCUCCAGGAGCACCAGGGCCAAAGUGAAAGGGAAGGUGACCUGGUCACAGGCCAGCGAGAGCUUUAAGGGGUCGCUGCCCGUGGACUCCCUGUGGGCAGUAGCAGAGCUAGACAAGAAGACUGGUCUUCAGAUUCCCGUGAGAGUUUCCUCUUGGGACAGAGAGUGUGACAACUUGGGCAGAGGAGGAGGAGAAGUUGUUGAGCCACUAAGUCACAUCUGACUCUUAGGACCUCAUGGACUGUAGCCUGCCAGGCUCUUCUGUUCAAGGGAUUUCCCAGGUGAGAAUACUGGAGUGGGUUGCCAUUUCCUCCUCCAGGGGAUCUUCCCGAUCCAGGGAUCGAACCUGUGUCUCCUGCCUUGACAGGCAGCUUCUUUACCACUGAACUACCAGGGAAGCCUUGAGGAGGAGAAGAGGGGACCAUAAACCCAGGAGGACCCUGCUUCAAGUGACCUCUCCGAGGAAGGGAGCUGUAGAGGGAAAUAAGGCUGCCGAUAACUCAGAAGCUCGCUGUCCCGUCAAGAGGACCAGCAGCUGGAGAGAGUUCCGAGCCUGUGGAUCUCCACCUGCAGACGUCAGCGGGGAGAGAGAAACGCUGACUCCGCGCUGUUGGGGGGGUGGCGUCAGGUUCGACCUCUCAGAAGGGCGCUCUGGCAACGCCUAUCCGAGUCAUGGAAAUGUGCGUCCUUCUGGCCCCAUAACUCCAAGUCUGAGAAUUUCACCGAAGGAAAGAGAUUCAUCAGUGAAAUCAUAGGGUUAUUGUUCUUGCUU
This is a long non-coding RNA of Bos taurus (domestic cattle), 1045 nucleotides long. The record is from Ensembl. NCBI's taxonomy places the organism in Eukaryota, Metazoa, Chordata, Mammalia, Artiodactyla, Bovidae.